This 355-nucleotide unclassified non-coding RNA is filed under the name soil metagenome. Its description in RNAcentral is "partial contains 5.8S ribosomal RNA, internal transcribed spacer 2, and large subunit ribosomal RNA". The stretch from base 1 to 120 matches the Rfam family "5.8S ribosomal RNA", at positions 35 to 154 of the family's 154-position model. The record is from RNAcentral.
GAUGAAGAACGUAGUGAAAUGCGAUAAGUAAUGUGAAUUGCAGAAUUCAGUGAAUCAUCGAAUCUUUGAACGCACAUUGCGCCCAUUAGUAUUCUAGUGGGCAUGUCUGUUCGAGCGUCAUUAAGUCCACUUAAGCCCUGCUUAGUGUUGGGAGACUGCUCCAGCGGUGCUACCCUGUAGCUACCCUGCAGCUCCUCAAAGACAGCGGCGGAGUUGUGGUAUCCUCUGAGCUUAGUAACUUGUUCUAGCUUUCGAGUACACCACUUCCCCUGCCGUAAAACCCUUAAUUUUUAAUGGUUGACCUCGGAUCAGGUAGGAAUACCCGCUGAACUUAAGCAUAUCAAUAAGCGGAGGA